CCCUUAGAUGUUCUGGGCCGCAUGCGUGCUACACUGAGUGGAUCAGCGGGUCAGGUUGCGCGAAAGCGUUUCCUAAUCUUUAAAUCCGCUCGUGAUGGGGAUUGACGGUUGCAAUUUUCUGUCAUGAACGAGGAAUACCUUGUAAGCGCGGGUCAUCAUCCCGCGCUGAAUACGUCCCUGCCCUUUGUACACACCGCCCGUCGCUCCUACCGAUUGAGUGGUCCGGUGAGGCUUUGGGAUCUGAGCGGAAAGAGCGUUUCGCUGUUUCUGCUCGGAAAACUCAGUCGAACCUUAUCAUUUAGAGGAAGGAGAAGUCGUAACA
RNAcentral lists this ribosomal RNA (322 nucleotides) under uncultured eukaryote. Its description in RNAcentral is "partial 18S ribosomal RNA". It matches the Rfam family "Eukaryotic small subunit ribosomal RNA", at positions 1470 to 1796 of the family's 1831-position model. The record is from RNAcentral.